RNAcentral lists this non-coding RNA (29 nucleotides) under Rattus norvegicus (Norway rat). Lineage: Eukaryota; Metazoa; Chordata; Mammalia; Rodentia; Muridae. The record is from RNAcentral.
UGAGCAUUUCUAGCCCCAAGCAUCAAUUU